This 502-nucleotide ribosomal RNA is filed under the name uncultured bacterium. RNAcentral's name for it is "bacterial SSU rRNA". It matches the Rfam family "Bacterial small subunit ribosomal RNA", at positions 975 to 1482 of the family's 1533-position model. The record is from RNAcentral.
CAGNCUUUACAUGGCAGGACGGUUUCCAGAGAUGGAUUCUUUCACUUCGGUUGCNUGCAACAGGUGCUGCAUGGCUGUCGUCAGCUCGUNUCGUGAGAUGNUGGGUUAAGUCCCGCAACGAGCGCAACCUUCGCCUUNAGUUGCCAUCAUNUAGUUGGCACUCUAGAGGGACUGCCGGUGAUAAGCCGAGGAAGGUGGGGAUGACGUCAAGUCUUCAUGGCCCNUACGGGCUGGGCUACACACGUGCUACAAUGGCGGUGACAAAGGCAGCUAGUCCGCGAGGACAUGCUAAUCCCAAAAAGCCGUCUCAGUUCGGAUUGCACUNUGCAACUCGAGUGCAUGAAGUUGGAAUCGCUAGUAAUCGUAGAUCAGCACGCUACGGUGAAUACGUUCCCGGGCCUUGUACACACCGCCCGUCACACCAUGGGAGUUGGUUCNACCCGAAGCCGGUGCGCUAACCGCAAGGAAGCAGCCGACCACGGUAGGGUCAGCGACUGGGGUG